RNAcentral lists this ribosomal RNA (459 nucleotides) under uncultured bacterium. RNAcentral describes it as "partial 16S ribosomal RNA". It matches the Rfam family "Bacterial small subunit ribosomal RNA", at positions 338 to 795 of the family's 1533-position model. The record is from RNAcentral.
CCUACGGGUGGCAGCAGUGAGGAAUAUUGGUCAAUGGGAGAGAUCCUGAACCAGCCAAGCCGCGUGAGGGAAGACGGUCCUAUGGGUUGUAAACCUCUUCUGCCGGGGAACAAAACCCGGGACGUGUCCCGGACUGCGUGUAUCCGUAGAAAAAGCAUCGGCUAACUCCGGGCCAGCAGCCGCGGUAAUACGGAGGAUGCGAGCGUUAUCCGGAUUUAUUGGGUUAAAAGGGUGGGAAGGCGGUCCGUUAAGUCAGCGGUAAAAUUGCGGGGCUAAACCACGUCGAGCCGUUGAAACUGGCAGACUUGAGUUGGCGAGAGGUACGCGGAAUGCGCGGUGUAGCGGUGAAAUGCAUAGAGAUCGCGCAGAACUCCGAUUGCGAAGGCAGCGUACCGGCGCCAGACUGACGCUGAGGCACGAAAGCGUGGGGAUCGAACAGGAUUAGAUACCCGAGUAGUC